This 301-nucleotide ribosomal RNA is filed under the name uncultured bacterium. Its description in RNAcentral is "partial 16S ribosomal RNA". It matches the Rfam family "Bacterial small subunit ribosomal RNA", at positions 509 to 807 of the family's 1533-position model. The record is from RNAcentral.
CAGUCGCCGCGGUAAUACGAAGGGUGCAAGCGUUAAUCGGAAUUACUGGGCGUAAAGCGUGCGUAGGCGGUUUGUUAAGUCUGUUGUGAAAUCCCCGGGCUCAACCUGGGAAUGGCAAUGGAUACUGGCAAGCUAGAGUGUGUCAGAGGAUGGUGGAAUUCCCGGUGUAGCGGUGAAAUGCGUAGAUAUGCGGAGGAACACCGAUGGCGAAGGCAGCCCCCUGGGCCAACACUGACGCUCAUGCACGAAAGCGUGGGGAGCAAACAGGAUUAGAUACCCCCGUAGUCCCUGUCUCUUAUAC